Glycine soja is the source of this 1297-nucleotide long non-coding RNA. RefSeq lists it as uncharacterized. Lineage: Eukaryota; Viridiplantae; Streptophyta; Magnoliopsida; Fabales; Fabaceae. The transcript is spliced from 6 exons. The record is from RefSeq and is a predicted model, not a curated record.
UGAAUAAGGUUGAGUUUUUAUAUUUUUUGAGUGCUCAGCUCGCGCCCUAACCCUCUUGCAUUCCGCUCACUCCGUCUUUGAACCUCUGGAAGCGUCUUCCAACCCUAAUUUUGCACUCCUCCGACUUCUGGACUUUCAAGGGUUUCACCAAAUUCGUCACGCGCCUCCUCUCCCUCCGUGACGCCUCGCUCGCACUCCUCAAACUCGAUUUCGAGCGCCGCGGCUGCAUCGAGCCGCAGCUCCUCAAACGGAUCGUCAAAUAUGUCGUUUCCCACAAUGUUCGCCAGGUAAAUGCUUUCAGGAAAAUGUUGGAAGGGAACCGAACAUAUCCUAUUUGCAGGUAACCUUGUCCAAUUCUGCAUGCGGCAAAAGAGUUAUUUUCAUGGAUGGGGAUAUAAAGUAAUGCGUGUUUUAUCUUUAACCCGUUUUUUCUCCUCUCCUCUGGAUUUUACUGGAAUCCCUGCUGUUGUUGACCUGGCUUGCGUGCGUGAUGCUAGGAAUAAGCUUGGCAGUGAUUCUAAUAAGAUUAAUCCUCUGGUUCCUGUUGAUCUUGUCAUUAAUCAUUCAGUUCAAGUUGAUGUAGCAAGGUCAGAGAAUGUAGUGCAGGCCAAUAUGGAGCUUGAGUUCUAGAGAAACAAUGAGAGAUUUGCUUUUCUUAAAUGGGGAUCAAAUGCUUUCCGUAAUAUGCUUGUUGUCCCUCCUGGAUCUGGUAUAGUACAUCAGGUCAAUCUUGAAUAUCUUGGACGCAUUGUUUUCAAUACUGAGGGCUUGUUGUAUCCUGACAGUGUAGUUGGAACUGCUUCACAUACAACAAUGAUAGAUAGGCUUGGAGUUGCUGGAUGGGGCUUUGGUGGUAUUGAAGCAGAGGCAACAGUGCUUGGCAAGAAAGAUGUUGGAUUUAGUUGAGCUUCAUCAGCCCCCAUUAUGUACCCAAAAUAGUGAAAGGUGAAACCAGUUUCACUUGUGUCAUGAAGUUUGGUGGCUCCUCUGUGGCUUCUGCUGAUAGGAUGGAAGAGGUGGCUACCCUUAUAUUGAGUUUUCCUGAAGAGAGGCCUAUUGUUGUUCUCUCUGUUGUGGGAAAAACAACAAACAAGGUUUUGCUGGAAAUUUUUUUUUGCUCCACUUUUUUUUUUCAUGUUGGUUUUUGCACUACUUUGGGUUGUGCUGGUUAAGGAUUGUUGUUGAAGAAAAAGGUUGCUUUCUGGUUUUGUUAUGCUGGAGAGAAAGCUGUGAGUUGUGGUGUUAUCAAUGUAUCAAGUAUUGAGGAGCUUUGCUUUAUAAAAGACCUGCAUCUAAG